Molecule: non-coding RNA, 109 nt
Filed under: uncultured Streptococcus sp.
Lineage: Bacteria; Bacillati; Bacillota; Bacilli; Lactobacillales; Streptococcaceae
Description: Streptococcus RNA 266
Rfam family: Streptococcus RNA 266
Source: RNAcentral
AAUGAUUUACUUGAACGCUUUUCAUCAUAGGUCAUAUGGAGCUUUUUUACACUUAAAAAGACUCCAUAAUCUCUAUAGUGGAUUUACCCAUUAUAGAAAUUAUAGAGCC